GGUACCCAUUAACCUUCACAUUACUUUAGAGCAAUUCAAAUGAGGUACAGCCCAUUUGACAAAGGAUACAACCUUCACUAACGGGUAACAUUUAAUUUACAUCCUCAAGUGGGCUUAAGAGCAGCCACCUUUCUAAAAGCGUCAAAGCUUAAUUAUAUUCAUGUCAUUAACUCAAAAAUCAACAUUGACCCCUUUAAUCGUACUGAGAACUUCUAUAAUAUUAUAGAACCUUUUAUGCUAAAACUAGUAACAAGAGUAAUUACCCUCUCUUUAAUGCAAACAUAAGCCAGCAAGAACCCCUCACUGGCAAUUAACAAACCUAAACAAAAGAAGCAACCUCACUAGAAAACCCUUCUAUUUCAUUUGUUAACCUAACACCAGAGCAUUUCAAGAAAGAUUAAAAGAAAAAGAAGGAACUCGGCAAACCCUAGCCCCGCCUGUUUACCAAAAACAUCGCCUCUUGACCCCAUAAGAGGUUCAGCCUGCCCAGUGACUCUGUUUAACGGCCGCGGUAUCCUAACCGUGCAAAGGUAGCGUAAUCACUUGUUUUCUAAAUAAAGACCAGUAUGAAAGGCAUCACGAGGACUAAACUGUCUCCUUUUUCCAAUCAGUGAACCUAAUUUCCCCGUGAAGAAGCGGGGAUAAGUCUAUAAGACGAG
RNAcentral lists this ribosomal RNA (659 nucleotides) under Pristimantis kunam. RNAcentral's name for it is "Pristimantis sp. k JAO-2021 partial large subunit ribosomal RNA". The stretch from base 429 to 588 matches the Rfam family "Bacterial large subunit ribosomal RNA", at positions 1791 to 2013 of the family's 2925-position model. The record is from RNAcentral. Lineage: Eukaryota; Metazoa; Chordata; Amphibia; Anura; Strabomantidae.